Molecule: long non-coding RNA, 1233 nt
Filed under: Salmo salar (Atlantic salmon)
Lineage: Eukaryota; Metazoa; Chordata; Actinopteri; Salmoniformes; Salmonidae
Description: lncRNA (ENSSSAG00000084791.1)
Source: RNAcentral
ACUAUAGGGGAACAGAGGAACUAUAGGGGAGCAGGUUAACUAUAGGGGAACAGAGGAACUAUAGGGGAACAGAGGAACUAUAGGGGAGCAGAGGAACUAUAGGGGAAUAGAGGAACUAUAGGGGAGCAGAUUAACUAUAGGGGAGCAGUUGAACUAUAGGGAGCAGAGGAACUAUAGGGGAGAAGAUGAACUAUAGGGGACUAGAUUAACUAUAGGGGAACAGAGGAACUAUAGGGGAAUAGAGGAACUAUAGGGGAGCAGAUUAACUAUAGGGGAACAGAGGAACUAUAGGGGAGAAGGUUAACUAUAGGGGAACAGAGGUACUAUAGCGGAGCAGAGGAACUAUAGGGGAGCAGAGGAACUAUAGGGGAGCAGAGGAACUAUAGGGAGUAGAGGAACUAUAGGGGAGCAGAGGAACUAUAGGGGAACAGAGGAACUAUAGGGGAACAGAGGAACUAUAGGGGAACAGAGGAACUAUAGGGGAGCAGAUGAACUAUAGGGAGCAGAGAAACAAUAGGGGAACAGAGGAACUAUAGGGGAGCAGAGGAACUAUAGGGGAGCAGAGGAACUAUAGGGGAGCAGAUUAACUAUAGGGGAGCAGAGGAACUAUAGGGGAACAGAGGAACUAUAGGGAGCAGAGAAACAAUAGGGGAGCAGAGGAACUAUAGGGGAACAGAGGAACUAUAGGGGAACAGAGGAACUAUAGGGGACUAGAUGAACUAUAGGGGAACAGAGGAACUAUAGGGGAGCAGAGGAACUAUAGGGGAGCAGAGGAACUAUAGGGGAGCAGAGGAACUAUAAGGGACAGGAUUAACUAUAGGGGAACAGAGGAACUAUAGGGGAGCAGAGGAACUAUAGGGGAGCAGAUUAACUAUAGGGGAACAGAGGAACUAUAGGGGAACAGAGGAACUACAGGGGAGCAGAUUAACUAUAGGGGAACAGAGGAACUAUAGGGGAACAGAGGAACUAUAGGGGAGCAGAGGAACUAUAGGGGAGCAGAGGAACUAUAGGGGAACAGAGGAACUAUAGGGGAACAGAGGAACUAUAGGGGAGCAGAUUAACUAUAGGGGAACAGAGGAACUAUAGGGGAGAAGGUUAACUAUAGGGGAACAGAGGUACUAUAGCGGAGCAGAGGAACUAUAGGGGAGCAGAGGAACUAUAGGGGAGCAGAGGAACUAUAGGGAGUAGAGGAACUAUAGGGGAGCAGAGGAACUAUAGGGGAACAGAGGAACU